This 460-nucleotide ribosomal RNA is filed under the name uncultured bacterium. RNAcentral's name for it is "partial 16S ribosomal RNA". It matches the Rfam family "Bacterial small subunit ribosomal RNA", at positions 338 to 795 of the family's 1533-position model. The record is from RNAcentral.
CCUACGGGGGGCAGCAGUGAGGAAUAUUGGUCAAUGGGCGAGAGCCUGAACCAGCCAAGUCGCGUGAGGGAAGACGGUCCUAUGGAUUGUAAACCUCUUUUGUCGGGGAGCAAAAAGGCCUCGUGAGGCCACAAGUGAGAGUACCCGUAGAAAAAGCCUCGGCUAACUCCGUGCCAGCAGCCGCGGUAAUCCGGAGGUUCCGAGCGUUAUCCGGAUUUAUUGGGUUUAACGGGUGCGUAGUGGGACGGGAAAGUAAGCGGUAAAAUCGACAGGUCCAACCUAUUUCCGCCGUUGAAACUGUCGGUCUUGAGUGGGCGAGAAGUAUGCGGAAUGCGUGGUGUAGCGGUGAAAUGCAUAGAUAUUACGCAGAACACUGAUUGCGAAGGCAGCUUGCUAGGCCGGAUCUGACACUGAUGCACGAAAGCGUGGGGAUCGAACAGGAUUAGAUACCCGAGUAGUC